CCUACGGGAGGCAGCAGCAGGGAAUAUUGCGCAAUGGGCGAAAGCCUGACGCAGUAACGCCGCGUGGGGGAUGAAGGCCUUCGGGUUGUAAACCCCUUUCAGCAGGGACGCGGUACCUGCAGAAGAAGCACCGGCCAACUACGUGCCAGCAGCCGCGGUAACACGUAGGGUGCAAGCGUUGUCCGGAUUCAUUGGGCGUAAAGGGCUAGUAGGCGGCUUAGCAAGUCGGGUGUGAAAACUUCAGGCUCAACCUGGAGCGGCCAUCUGAUACUGCUAGGCUAGAGUCCGGUAGGGGACCACGGAAUUCCUGGUGUAGCGGUGAAAUGCGCAGAUAUCAGGAGGAACACCGAUGGCGAAGGCAGUGGUCUGGGCCGGACUGACGCUGAAUAGCGAAAGCGUGGGUAGCGAACAGGAUUAGAUACCCUUGUAGUC
Molecule: ribosomal RNA, 432 nt
Filed under: uncultured bacterium
Lineage: Bacteria
Description: partial 16S ribosomal RNA
Rfam family: Bacterial small subunit ribosomal RNA
Source: RNAcentral